AACGAACGCUGGCGGCAUGCCUAACACAUGCAAGUCGAACGAGACCUUCGGGUCUAGUGGCGCACGGGUGCGUAACGCGUGGGAAUCUGCCCUUGGGUUCGGAAUAACAGUUGGAAACGACUGCUAAUACCGGAUGAUGACGUAAGUCCAAAGAUUUAUCGCCCAAGGAUGAGCCCGCGUAGGAUUAGCUAGUUGGUGAGGUAAAGGCUCACCAAGGCGACGAUCCUUAGCUGGUCUGAGAGGAUGAUCAGCCACACUGGGACUGAGACACGGCCCAGACUCCUACGGGAGGCAGCAGUGGGGAAUAUUGGACAAUGGGCGAAAGCCUGAUCCAGCAAUGCCGCGUGAGUGAUGAAGGCCUUAGGGUUGUAAAGCUCUUUUACCCGGGAUGAUAAUGACAGUACCGGGAGAUUAAGCUCCGGCUAACUCCGUG
This 433-nucleotide ribosomal RNA is filed under the name uncultured bacterium. RNAcentral describes it as "partial 16S ribosomal RNA". It matches the Rfam family "Bacterial small subunit ribosomal RNA", at positions 29 to 507 of the family's 1533-position model. The record is from RNAcentral.